This 549-nucleotide ribosomal RNA is filed under the name uncultured bacterium. Its description in RNAcentral is "bacterial SSU rRNA". It matches the Rfam family "Bacterial small subunit ribosomal RNA", at positions 355 to 896 of the family's 1533-position model. The record is from RNAcentral.
UGGGGAAUAUUGGACAAUGGGCGAAAGCCUGAUCCAGCCAUGCCGCGUGUGUGAAGAAGGCCUUAUGGUUGUAAAGCACUUUAAGUGGGGAGGAAAAGCUUAUGGAUAAUACCCAUAGGUUCUGACGUUACCCACAGAAUAAGCACCGGCUAACUCUGUGCCAGCAGCCGCGGUAAUACAGAGGGUGCGAGCGUUAAUCGGAAUUACUGGGCGUAAAGCGAGCGUAGGUGGUUUAUUAAGUCAGAUGUGAAAUCCCUGGGCUUAACCUAGGAACUGCAUCUGAUACUGAUAAACUAGAGUAGGUGAGAGGAAAGUAGAAUUCCAGGUGUAGCGGUGAAAUGCGUAGAUAUCUGGAGGAAUACCGAUGGCGAAGGCAGCUUUCUGGCAUCAUACUGACACUGAGGUUCGAAAGCGUGGGUAGCAAACAGGAUUAGAUACCCUGGUAGUCCACGCCGUAAACGAUGUCUACCAGUCGUUGGGUCUUUUAAAGGCUUAGUGACGCAGUUAACGCGAUAAGUAGACCGCCUGGGGAGUACGGCCGCAAGGUUA